UCGACUACCACUAGCUCUUAAGGUCUUUCUGGUGCCUUUCCCCUAAAAAUUCUGAGGUCCCUAGAGCUUGAAUGUAUCACAAAUUCCACAUUUAGUGCUGAGAAUCCAACAACUUUUGCUCACUGUGCCACAGCCAACUGAGAGGUCGCUGUGUCGAUUGCCAGCUACUGCAAGUAGGAGAUUCUCUGUCUGUGGUACCACCAUUGGUCAGCCUUCCUGUUCCAUGUAAGUUAUUGUCCAGGUCUGUCUCCAGAGACCUCCUAGAAAGAGACCCAUUUGCAGUCCCUCCAGCCAAAAUUGGAUGCUGACAUUACAAGUGGAACGAUCACAGUUGCAACAGAUAUAAGCCAAUGAAAGGAACCCCAUGCUACUCCUACACACAAACACAGCACUGUUGUAUAUAUCUGAGUAAGAACAGAGAUGUUGGAGUUGAAGUGAACAGACAUCUGAACUAAAUUACAUGAACAAGUCUAGGCUUCCAACUGGAUUUCUAUGUUUGGACCAAUUUUAAUACUUAGAGUCUCUGGAUUAUCCUAUCUGGUUCCUGGCCAUCCCAGCAGAAUAGCUCAUGUAAUACCUCUUUCAUCAUACACAAAUUAAACCAAACAUCACUUUGUUGUAACACAAAUAUAUAAAAUAACCAAAGACUAAUGUUGGGGUUCAAGUUGAAUAUCAGAAAAGCAAAGCAUCUGCCACUAGCUUCUUUCCUCUUCAUCAGGAUGAAUCAGCUGAUCCUGUUUCCACAUGCUCUCACCAAGCCUCAGAGUUUAACCCCUCCUCAGCAUGACUGAAGAAGAAAUGCCACCUACUCAAUAUUGAAGAACCUGUCUGCUUCUAUUUUUAUACCCCUCUAGCACUGGAAUUAAA
Long non-coding RNA from Mesocricetus auratus (golden hamster), 867 nucleotides. RefSeq lists it as uncharacterized. The record is from RefSeq and is a predicted model, not a curated record. The transcript is spliced from 4 exons. NCBI's taxonomy places the organism in Eukaryota, Metazoa, Chordata, Mammalia, Rodentia, Cricetidae.